This is a small nucleolar RNA of Oryzias melastigma (Indian medaka), 66 nucleotides long. Ensembl annotates it as small nucleolar RNA U54. Its record names the gene SNORD54. Lineage: Eukaryota; Metazoa; Chordata; Actinopteri; Beloniformes; Adrianichthyidae. The record is from Ensembl.
GAGCAAUGAGGAUAAGAAUUUGACCAUGAUAACCAUGAUUCUUGUAUACGCUAUUCUGAGCUAAGG